This is a long non-coding RNA of Sebastes umbrosus (honeycomb rockfish), 2157 nucleotides long. RefSeq lists it as uncharacterized. NCBI's taxonomy places the organism in Eukaryota, Metazoa, Chordata, Actinopteri, Perciformes, Sebastidae. The transcript has 3 exons. The record is from RefSeq and is a predicted model, not a curated record.
AGUCCCAAACAAAUACACUAGGGCUAAGCCCUUUUUGGUCGUUUCCAGUCGUUUUGGUCUUAGUUGACUAAGCUUUCUUUAGUCGUUUGGCGUUUUUUAUGCUGAAUGACUUAUUUCCAAGAAACUUAUGAGCACAUCUCUGGUUAACACAAGAUUUAAAGAGGUGCUUUUCUGUGAUUCUUUGUUAAGAAACUCAGUUUUACAGAUCUGUCAAUUAAAUCAACUUAUGGAUCAGUCGCCAAAAUCAAGUGUUGGUCGACUAAGAAUGCUCUAUUUCCUCCUGUUUGAGUAACAGUAAGCAUCUGUUUUAGGAAAUGACAGAUUUUUUUUAAAGAUGAAACUAUAUAUCUGUGGUCUUUCUAAAGAUUUAUGUGCUUGGGGCGAAGACCCACGGACGAGAAGUCAGAAAGUACUGAGAAAUGGACAAACACAUUGUUGGUUUUGGUGUUUUCAAGAGAUUUGUAGACCAUAAGAAACAUAUCAAAUAACUCCAGCCUUAUUCUUUAAUCAGAAAAAAAACAAGGAAUGAAUGGACCACUAAACUUCUGGGGAAAAAAAGCUGCAGAGCAUCUGGACCGAAAUCCAUCCAAAGUAUUAACAUUCACGCCUGCAGAUGUCCUAUCACUGAGUAUUCCAAACUGUCAACUACCAAAAUCAGCAUCAAUUUCUUACUCCGAUUCUUGUUUGCUCACAUUUUAACUGGAUAUUUCUUGAUCAAAGUUAUAAUUUUGUAGCCUGACCAAAAAAAAAAAAUCUCAACACACAGUUCAACUUGUUGGAUGACAGUGGAUGACUCCCUCUUCGGCAACAACAAGUAAAUUGAACCUUGUGUCCCGAUUUCUUCUGUGAAGUUGCCAUUUUCAAGGGCAAGAAUAAACCUUGAAGCUCGAUAAUUUAGGUCGUUUUAAGCCUGCAGUUCUUUCACGGCUGCUUUGUGUUAAACACUGAGACUAUUUGAGAGGUUUUGUUAAAUAGAAAAAAAAUGGUUUUGUAGAGAAAAGUUUCAGUAUUGGUACUGAAACUCAGUUUUCACAUCGACACUGGUGAGUUAUGUUAGUAGAACGCUUUUUACAGUCAAAGUUGACUUAUUUUCCACCCAAACCGAUAUUAAAAAUACCCCAAAAACUGGUAUUUGUUUUUCUCUGGUCAUUCCCUUUAUUACUUCCUGCCAUGUAGUCUGGACGUUGGACACACUCCCUGCCAGUCUCACUCCACAACACACACACACACACACACUGAGAGCAAGAUUCCUCCCACUGUGGCCUUUAAUCCUGGUCCAGACUGUAAGCAUGGUUGUGAUAAAGACACUCACAACGGCUUUAAAGAAACGCUCUGAUGUAAACUUUGAUGAACGUAACAGGAGGGAGAGGUGAGAGGAAUCAACACAGUGGGCCAACUGGAGAUACAUCAGAGCAGAAGAUACUUUCAACAGUCUCAUAUAGAAAGAAAACGACAUAGAUCAUCACCAGAGAAGCUCGUAAACUAACCGUCUGUCUUUCCUUAGCCAGUUCUCAGUGCUCGCUGCUCGGACUGAAUGAAAGUUCCCUGAACGCACCGCGAGUUGUGUGCACCGCUGACCUGAAACCACCAGCCGUGGAUAAUUGCAGUGCAUUUUCAGUCAAACAAACUGUUCCUGGUACAGCUGGUGACAUCACUCUCUACCAGAUGGCAGAUGUGGAGAUUAUAAAUCACAGGGAGGCAAAACGAUGGGAGACGAGACCGAAAGUUAAGCUACAGGGCAGGUUAUAAAAAGAAAAAACUAAUGGAUAGAUGGGAUGCCGAUCGAAAAGCGGUUAAAUAAAGUUGCUGAUAAAUAGAAAGGGGACAGUACAGAGCAUGACGGAGGGUUUCACCAACUUUGAACUUUUCAUUCGAAUGUGGGAAAAGAUGAAAUAUUCAAAACUUUAAAGUUGUUGACCUUUGAGAAAAUUAACUAAAUCCAAACUUAAUUUUUUUAGUAAGUGAUAGCCCUAACCUGGAUUAGUGUCAACUCUGCUACACAUUUGAGCUACACAGAGCAAAGAGAUGCUGAAUGGAAUGAAUGAAAAUCCAAUGGAGGUUUAUGCGUUUUCGUCUUUUAAAGGGAUAGUUUGGGUGUUUUUGAAGUGGGGUUGUAUGAGGUACUUAUCCAUAUACUGUAAUACACUGACUAUGGAU